UGGGGAAUUUUGGACAAUGGGCGAAAGCCUGAUCCAGCAAUGCCGCGUGUGUGAAGAAGGCCUUCGGGUUGUAAAGCACUUUUGUCCGGAAAGAAAUCCUUGGCUCUAAUACAGUCGGGGGAUGACGGUACCGGAAGAAUAAGCACCGGCUAACUACGUGCCAGCAGCCGCGGUAAUACGUAGGGUGCAAGCGUUAAUCGGAAUUACUGGGCGUAAAGCGUGCGCAGGCGGUUUGCUAAGACCGAUGUGAAAUCCCCGGGCUCAACCUGGGAACUGCAUUGGUGACUGGCAGGCUAGAGUAUGGCAGAGGGGGGUAGAAUUCCACGUGUAGCAGUGAAAUGCGUAGAGAUGUGGAGGAAUACCGAUGGCGAAGGCAGCCCCCUGGGCCAAUACUGACGCAUGCACGAAAGCCGUGGGGGAGCAAACAGGAUUCAGAUACCCUGGUAGUCCACGCCCUAAACGAUGUCAACUAGUUGUUGGGGAUUCAUUUCCUUAGUAACGUAGCUAACGCGUGAAGUUGA
Molecule: ribosomal RNA, 521 nt
Filed under: uncultured bacterium
Lineage: Bacteria
Description: partial 16S ribosomal RNA
Rfam family: Bacterial small subunit ribosomal RNA
Source: RNAcentral